AUGCCACAUUCCAACUCAACUGAACCUUUAAACGAAUGUAGCCCUAGCCUCUAUUUGACUUCAACUACAAGAGAGAUGCCAAGCUGAGACCAGUUAAGCCACAGAACUCUUUUACCUUCGUUAACUCACACUUGCACCCAACUGAAGUGAAACCAGCAACCAUUUAACAGCAAACAGUAGCAGCAGCAUGCACCAAAAGAGAAUGGAAAGUGAAAAGAACACAACAGAUCAUUUUAAAAGUAGUGUGUCAAUUGCCUGGUUCUCCACUGACAGCUAAAAUUAAACAAAAAAGUGAAUUCCGUUCUACAGUGUGAACAUCUUAUGGGAACACUAGAGGAUAUCCAUAGACAGCAGGAAAAAAACAGCAAAAUAGAUAUUUUGACUCACAGAAAAUGAAUGUUUGCAAAGAUUCACCAAGAAAUAAAGUCAACCAAAAAAGCAAAGUCAUGAAAAAGAAAUGCAAAUCUCCACAAAAGGCAGCUUUUCAGGGCUAUUCCUGUCUGCACGCCCUCUGAAUAACCAUCUCAAAACAUGUUCAAGAAGUAUAUUUUGUUUUUCAUCCAGUGACUACCAAAUGGAGGAAUUAUCGUCUUGAAGGGGAACGUAUCAAUCACUUAAGGAAACUAGAUGGGAGACUGAAGGUGGCAAAAGGAGAGGCAUAGCAAAUGGAAGAAGGUGUCCUAGAGUCACUCUUAAACUUUGAGAAGUUUGAGAUAUUAGGUUGGUGCAAGAGUAAUUGCAGGUUUUACCAUUACUUUUAAGAGCACAAGAACCAAACAUAUGAAUAUUUACACUAAAAAAUAAACUAGAGUUGCUUCA
Long non-coding RNA from Pan troglodytes (chimpanzee), 819 nucleotides. RefSeq lists it as uncharacterized. The transcript has 6 exons. The record is from RefSeq and is a predicted model, not a curated record. Lineage: Eukaryota; Metazoa; Chordata; Mammalia; Primates; Hominidae.